RNAcentral lists this unclassified non-coding RNA (425 nucleotides) under soil metagenome. Its description in RNAcentral is "partial contains 5.8S ribosomal RNA, internal transcribed spacer 2, and large subunit ribosomal RNA". The stretch from base 1 to 120 matches the Rfam family "5.8S ribosomal RNA", at positions 35 to 154 of the family's 154-position model. The record is from RNAcentral.
GAUGAAGAACGCAGCGAAAUGCGAUAAGUAGUGUGAAUUGCAGAAUUCCGUGAAUCAUCGAAACUUUGAAUGCACAUUGCGCCUUCUGGUAUUCCGGAAGGCAUGCCUGUUCGAGAGUCAUUAACAACCGUUUCGAUCCCUUUCUUUCAGAAAUUACAAAGAGGAAAAGGGUUUGGUUAUGGUGGAGGAGGGAAAGGGAGCGUUUAGCCUGUAAAAAAAGAGGCUGUGUUCCGCCUCCCCCCCAAAAUUGUACAGGCGGUCGUGUGCGCCCACGCAUCGAGGUGUUGUAAAAGCUGCCACGGCACUUUUCACCUGUGCAGUGCGAGAUUGGCCAGCCGGUUUAAAAACCCCUCCAAACAAUCAAAGGUUGACCUCGGAUCAGGUAGGGAUACCCGCUGAACUUAAGCAUAUCAAUAAGCGGAGGA